RNAcentral lists this ribosomal RNA (492 nucleotides) under uncultured bacterium. RNAcentral's name for it is "partial 16S ribosomal RNA". It matches the Rfam family "Bacterial small subunit ribosomal RNA", at positions 29 to 507 of the family's 1533-position model. The record is from RNAcentral.
AGUGAACGCUGGCGGUAGGCCUAACACAUGCAAGUCGAACGGCAGCACAGUAAGAGCUUGCUCUUACGGGUGGCGAGUGGCGGACUGGUGAGGAAUACAUCGGAAUCUACUUUUUCGUGGGGGAUAACGUAGGGAAACUUACGCUAAUACCGCAUACGACCUACGGGUGAAAGCAGGGGAUCUUCGGACCUUGCGCGAUUGAAUGAGCCGAUGUCGGAUUAGCUAGUUGGCGGGGUAAAGGCCCACCAAGGCGACGAUCCGUAGCUGGUCUGAGAGGAUGAUCAGCCACACUGGAACUGGGACACGGUCCAGACUCCUACGGGAGGCAGCAGUGGGGAAUAUUGGACAAUGGGCGCAAGCCUGAUCCAGCCAUACCGCGUGGGUGAAGAAGGCCUUCGGGUUGUAAAGCCCUUUUGUUGGGAAAGAAAAGCAGCAGGUUAAUACCCCGCUGUUCUGACGGUACCCAAAGAAUAAGCACCGGCUAACUUCGUG